Molecule: ribosomal RNA, 811 nt
Filed under: uncultured bacterium
Lineage: Bacteria
Description: bacterial SSU rRNA
Rfam family: Bacterial small subunit ribosomal RNA
Source: RNAcentral
AGAGUUUGAUCCUGGCUCAGAUUGAACGCUGGCGGCGUGCUUAACACAUGCAAGUCGAACGAGAAAGGGACUUCGGUCCUGAGUAGAGUGGCGCACGGGUGAGUAACGCGUAGGUAAUCUACCUCUGCAUCUGGGAUAACACUUCGAAAGGGGUGCUAAUACCGGAUACACUCAUAGAUCGCAAGGUCUAUGAGGAAAGGAGACCUCUCCUUGGAAGUUUCUGUGUAGAGAUGAGCCUGCGUCCCAUUAGCUAGUUGGCAGGGUAAUGGCCUACCAAGGCGACGAUGGGUAGCGGGUCUGAGAGGAUGAUCCGCCACACUGGAACUGAAACACGGACCAGACUCCUACGGGAGGCAGCAGUGAGGAAUAUUGGACAAUGGGCGCAAGCCUGAUCCAGCGACGCCGCGUGAGUGAUGAAGGCCUUUGGGUCGUAAAGCUCUGUCAGCAGGGAAGAACGGCCGUGCGGUUAAUACCCGUGCGGAUUGACGGUACCUGCAGAGGAAGCACCGGCUAACUCCGUGCCAGCAGCCGCGGUAAUACGGAGGGUGCGAGCGUUAAUCGGAAUUACUGGGCGUAAAGGGCGCGUAGGCGGCCGAUCAAGUCAGGUGUGAAAGCCCACGGCUUAACCGUGUGAAGUGCAUCUGAAACUGGCCGGCUUGAGUAUCGGAGAGGAAAGUGGAAUUCCCGGUGUAGAGGUGAAAUGCGUAGAUAUCUGAAGGAACACCAGUGGCGAAGGCGACUUACUGGACUCAAACUGACGCUGAGGUACGAAAGCGUGGGUAGCAAACAGGAUUAGAUACCCUGGUAGUCC